GCUGAAACUUCUCGAUUAUUUUCCCAUACAUGCUAGGGCACCUCACGCCAUAUUCACUUAGCAGAUCAUGCCAUUUAAUCUCCAGGGCUCUGUCACCAGCAGUUUCCACGGUGAAGUGCAAACCUUGGUAUAUCCACCGCUUCGGUCCAGUAAGUCACCCCAUUGAGCCACUCACGUCUCGGUCUCAGAUGCUGGGUGCGACCCCAUUAAUGUUAUUCAAAAAUAUCUUACUCGUUUUAAUCUUGCGUAAUUUUGCGUGGAUUUUGUUUGUCGGAAAGAAGAGAGAACUGAGCUUCAACAUUCAACACAUGGGGUUCUAUUACAAAGUUCCCCUUCAUGCCGGUAGUUUAUUGAAAAGCGUUUUUUGUUGGGACCAGGGCUCGACAUCUUCGAAGAAAUAAACCUGAAAUCGACUUUCCUCUCAGUUGUUUCGUUUCGACUAGGACUAUUUUGGCAUAUAUUUGUAAAGCUCGGUAGUCCUAGUCGAAGUGAAGCGAUCUUAAAGCUUAAAGCUUUUACAUUGGCGCACCGUGUAUUUUUGCAUGAGUCGUCGUUUCAUAGUGCUUCUCCGAAUAACAGUUUGACAGUGUCGAUACUACAAAUAUGUAAUAUUCGGGGCGUAUUAUUACGUCAUCUCGGUCGUUCGUCGCAAUUUCAGCAUAAUAAAUUUAAUUAGCAAUUGCUGCUCCGAAUUCAAAGGUCUGUAUUAAUUAACCCAGAUAGAAUGGGGCCAAAUUAGCCUGUCAUCCAGAGGACACCAAUCCAAUUUAAUUUUAUUGACUGGGAAGAUCGUCCAAAUGAGAUACCGGCGUGGUGUCCAUUAUAUUGACGACAUUGUAUAAUAGUUUCCCCCUGUCGCUUGCCGGAUUCCAGGCCACUAGCACAUUCAUUUCAUUACCCCACUAGAAGCAAAUUGCAGUUUCUAACGAGUUGUCCUUGGUUCUGCUUCCGCAUUGAAGUUCCAUUCUUGUGAUGCACUCGCCAGAUUAGCACUGGCAACUUCAAAGUCAGUGAUGCGCUGGUUGCACAGGGACUGGAGCUAUCUUUUAAAAAAAACCUCGAAACAUCAUUGAAUGAGUAGCACAAAGUUAGCACUGAGCCACCGAAAAUAGAAAUACGGAUGCUAUUUCUCACGAGGAUUACAAGUAAAGCAAUGCGAACGAUUGGAGCGGAGUAUGGAGAAACUGAAAUUAAUCCAGUUGCCCAUGGAGGAUUAAUCACCCACAUACAUGUUCACCAAUGUGACCGAUGACAAGUUCUCGCUUACACUAAACAGGGCAUACAUCAGCACUUCAUGAGAUGCAAUCUGCACUUUCUGCUGGAUAACUUCAAGUGUUCAAGUUGACUUAUGAAGCGCAUGAAGUCCUGUUACUGAAUGAAAGGCAACCGAAAAUUUGAUUAACAGCGAUGAUGGUUCGAAUCGGGUAAUAACACUCGAUGAAACAGAAAUAAAAGCCUUCGAAAU
This is a long non-coding RNA of Toxorhynchites rutilus septentrionalis, 1465 nucleotides long. RefSeq lists it as uncharacterized. Lineage: Eukaryota; Metazoa; Arthropoda; Insecta; Diptera; Culicidae. The transcript has 3 exons. The record is from RefSeq and is a predicted model, not a curated record.